This is a long non-coding RNA of Populus euphratica (Euphrates poplar), 847 nucleotides long. RefSeq lists it as uncharacterized. NCBI's taxonomy places the organism in Eukaryota, Viridiplantae, Streptophyta, Magnoliopsida, Malpighiales, Salicaceae. The record is from RefSeq and is a predicted model, not a curated record. The transcript has 3 exons.
UAUUUUUAAAGAGAUUAUAUAAAUCGUGAAUAUAUUUUAGGUUUAAAAGACGAGAUGUCUGUGAUUGACAGAAAGCUUCUUUGAUUGAUUGAUUAUUUUUUUACUAAGGACAAUAAGUUAUAAUUAACUGUAAGAAAUACUUUACGGCAUCGCAUAUGGAGAGCCGGUUGCUCGAGGAGCGAUUUCCAUUAAACUAGUUCUUCCUUUAUUUUCUUAAUGAAUCAUGAAAAAGAAACGUAUUUUUCUAGAAACUCUCUAGGACACCAUGGGAUAAAAAGGAGGUUCCUCCAACCCAUGCAAGAGCACAUGACUGUUCCCAUGGAUUCGUGGCGUCCCUAAUAUGCGCGGCAAAGCUUCGUUGCAUUUUCUUCUAUGUUCUUUUGUCUCGAAAGUUAGAUCGCAGGUUACAAAUACUGACAUAGCUACAGUAGCCCAUGUGUGAGUAGGAGUCAUAUCAAGGUAAUAUGAAUAUUGAUUCUGAGACCUUUAAGGUUGGAUUCCAACCGAAUGCAAGGCACCCGGAGGCGGAGCCAAGACCAAAACCAGACCACCUGGGGUUACAUGGAGCUGAGAUCGAUUCCAAGACGGUCAAGAUUGGGUUCGAAGCUCCUAGGGGUGAAGCCGAGAGAAAAUCCAUGCUAGCUCUAUACCGGUGUAUGUAGAGAUCAAGCUAGGAUAGCUUUCAGGUCGGGUACUCUGAGGCUACCAAAAAAAAAAGGCACAAAACUGGGUAUGAGGGAUCGAAGGACUCAUGUAAAUAAUUUACUUGUUAACAUCUUUUAAUCCAAAUAAAAACCGUAUCUCACUGAUCAUUAGGAUAAUAUCUUAUGAUUAUGUGCUUAUAACA